Non-coding RNA from Pelobates cultripes (western spadefoot toad), 222 nucleotides. NCBI's taxonomy places the organism in Eukaryota, Metazoa, Chordata, Amphibia, Anura, Pelobatidae. The record is from the annotation of a GenBank genome assembly.
AUCUGAAGCCCAUGUCCAGGAUCCGUCUGUGUGUGGUGGCUCUUGAUGCACUGACUCCAGCCUCAGUCCACUCCUUGUGAAAGUCCCCAACACUUUUGAAUGGCCUUUUCCUGACAAUCCUCUCCAGGUUGCGGUCAUCCCUGCUGCUUGUGCACCUUUUUCUUCCACAUAACUUUCUAUUAAUGUGCUUUGAUACAGCACUUUGGGAACAUCCAACUUCCU